This 292-nucleotide ribosomal RNA is filed under the name uncultured bacterium. RNAcentral's name for it is "partial 16S ribosomal RNA". It matches the Rfam family "Bacterial small subunit ribosomal RNA", at positions 505 to 796 of the family's 1533-position model. The record is from RNAcentral.
GUGUCAGCCGCCGCGGUAAGACAGAGGGUGCAAACGUUGUUCGGAUUUACUGGGCGUAAAGCGCGUGUAGGCGGCUUCGCAAGUUGGAUGUGAAAUCCCACGGCUCAACCGUGGACGUGCAUCCAAAACUGCGUCGCUCGAGUCUCGGAGAGGAAGGUGGAAUGCUUGGUGUAGAGGUGAAAUUCGUAGAUAUCAAGCAGAACACCUGCGGCGAAGGCGGCCUUCUGGACGAUGACUGACGCUGAGACGCGAAAGCGUGGGGAGCAAACAGGAUUAGAAACCCCUGUAGUCC